ACUGCGGUUACAUGUAGAUCCCUUUUGUAGGGUUCUUUGAUGAAAUAUUCUUGUUACGCUUGGCUUCUGAGCUUU
Molecule: small nucleolar RNA, 75 nt
Filed under: Salix viminalis (osier)
Lineage: Eukaryota; Viridiplantae; Streptophyta; Magnoliopsida; Malpighiales; Salicaceae
Rfam family: Small nucleolar RNA R24
About the family: snoR24 is a C/D box small nucleolar RNA which acts as a methylation guide for 18S ribosomal RNA in plants.
Source: RNAcentral